RNAcentral lists this ribosomal RNA (705 nucleotides) under uncultured Lachnospiraceae bacterium. RNAcentral's name for it is "bacterial SSU rRNA". It matches the Rfam family "Bacterial small subunit ribosomal RNA", at positions 55 to 771 of the family's 1533-position model. The record is from RNAcentral. Lineage: Bacteria; Bacillati; Bacillota; Clostridia; Lachnospirales; Lachnospiraceae.
AAGCACUCUAUUUGAUUUUCUUCGGAAAUGAAGAUUUUGUGACUGAGUGGCGGACGGGUGAGUAACGCGUGGGUAACCUGCCUCAUACAGGGGGAUAACAGUUGGAAACGACUGCUAAUACCGCAUAAGCGCACAGGAUUGCAUGAUCCGGUGUGAAAAACUCCGGUGGUAUGGGAUGGACCCGCGUCUGAUUAGCCAGUUGGCAGGGUAACGGCCUACCAAAGCGACGAUCAGUAGCCGACCUGAGAGGGUGACCGGCCACAUUGGGACUGAGACACGGCCCAAACUCCUACGGGAGGCAGCAGUGGGGAAUAUUGCACAAUGGGGGAAACCCUGAUGCAGCGACGCCGCGUGAGCGAAGAAGUAUUUCGGUAUGUAAAGCUCUAUCAGCAGGGAAGAAGAAUGACGGUACCUGACUAAGAAGCACCGGCUAAAUACGUGCCAGCAGCCGCGGUAAUACGUAGGGGGCAAGCGUUAUCCGGAUUUACUGGGUGUAAAGGGAGCGUAGACGGUGUGGCAAGUCUGAUGUGAAAGGCAUGGGCUCAACCUGUGGACUGCAUUGGAAACUGUCAUACUUGAGUGCCGGAGGGGUAAGCGGAAUUCCUAGUGUAGCGGUGAAAUGCGUAGAUAUUAGGAGGAACACCAGUGGCGAAGGCGGCUUACUGGACGGUAACUGACGUUGGGGCUCGAAAGCGUGGGGAGCAA